Molecule: ribosomal RNA, 313 nt
Filed under: Cladosporium sp.
Lineage: Eukaryota; Fungi; Ascomycota; Dothideomycetes; Cladosporiales; Cladosporiaceae
Description: SSU rRNA
Rfam family: Eukaryotic small subunit ribosomal RNA
Source: RNAcentral
UUCAUUUCCUUAGCCGAAAGGUUUGGGUAAUCUUGUUAAACUCUGUCGUGCUGGGGAUAGAGCAUUGCAAUUAUUGCUCUUCAACGAGGAAUGCCUAGUAAGCGCAUGUCAUCAGCAUGCGUUGAUUACGUCCCUGCCCUUUGUACACACCGCCCGUCGCUACUACCGAUUGAAUGGCUCGGUGAGGCCUUCGGACUGGCCCAGGGAGGUCGGCAACGACCACCCAGGGCCGGAAAGUUGGUCAAACCCGGUCAUUUAGAGGAAGUAAAAGUCGUAACAAGGUCUCCGUAGGUGAACCUGCGGAGGGAUCAUU